GCCAGCAGUCAUAUCACCCUGUAACUCACAACCCACUAAAGCUAAGCAGGUGUAAGCCUGGUCAGUACCUGGAUGAGUGACCUCCUGGGGAAAACUAAGGUUGCUGCUGGAA
This 112-nucleotide ribosomal RNA is filed under the name Lepisosteus oculatus (spotted gar). The record is from RNAcentral. Lineage: Eukaryota; Metazoa; Chordata; Actinopteri; Semionotiformes; Lepisosteidae.